CCUGGCUCAGAUUGAACGCUGGCGGCAGGCCUAACACAUGCAAGUCGAGCGGAUGAAGGGAGCUUGCUCCUGGAUUCAGCGGCGGACGGGUGAGUAAUGCCUAGGAAUCUGCCUGGUAGUGGGGGAUAACGUCCGGAAACGGGCGCUAAUACCGCAUACGUCCUGAGGGAGAAAGUGGGGGAUCUUCGGACCUCACGCUAUCAGAUGAGCCUAGGUCGGAUUAGCUAGUUGGUGGGGUAAAGGCCUACCAAGGCGACGAUCCGUAACUGGUCUGAGAGGAUGAUCAGUCACACUGGAACUGAGACACGGUCCAGACUCCUACGGGAGGCAGCAGUGGGGAAUAUUGGACAAUGGGCGAAAGCCUGAUCCAGCCAUGCCGCGUGUGUGAAGAAGGUCUUCGGAUUGUAAAGCACUUUAAGUUGGGAGGAAGGGCAGUAAGUUAAUACCUUGCUGUUUUGACGUUACCAACAGAAUAAGCACCGGCUAACUUCGUGCCAGCAGCCGCGGUAAUACGAAGGGUGCAAGCGUUAAUCGGAAUUACUGGGCGUAAAGCGCGCGUAGGUGGUUCAGCAAGUUGGAUGUGAAAUCCCCGGGCUCAACCUGGGAACUGCAUCCAAAACUACUGAGCUAGAGUACGGUAGAGGGUGGUGGAAUUUCCUGUGUAGCGGUGAAAUGCGUAGAUAUAGGAAGGAACACCAGUGGCGAAGGCGACCACCUGGACUGAUACUGACACUGAGUGCGAAAUGCCCAC
This 751-nucleotide ribosomal RNA is filed under the name Pseudomonas aeruginosa. Its description in RNAcentral is "bacterial SSU rRNA". It matches the Rfam family "Bacterial small subunit ribosomal RNA", at positions 18 to 764 of the family's 1533-position model. Lineage: Bacteria; Pseudomonadati; Pseudomonadota; Gammaproteobacteria; Pseudomonadales; Pseudomonadaceae. The record is from RNAcentral.